GGACGCAGCACCCGAUCCAUGAGAUGCUGAAACGUGGCCGGGGCCCCAAACAAGUGUGGUAAAUUGGUACAAACCGUACGGGGUGGAGAAUGCCGUUUUCUCCUUGGACUCUGGCGACAGAGGAAUCUGCCAGUAGCCCUUGGUUAAAUCCAGUGUCGUGAAGAAACGUGCAGUGCCUAGCCGGUCCAGGAGUUCGUCGACCCGGGGCAUUGGGUAAGCAUCGAACCGUGACACGUCAUUCACCCUGCAAUAGUCCACGCAGAACCGUACAGAUCCAUCCUUCUUAGCCACAAGGACGAUGGGGCUGCACCAGGCACUGUUGGACUCUUCUAUUACCCCCAACUCCAACAUACUAGCCAAUUCCCUCCGAACCACUUCUUUCCACUGCUUCAAUUGAUCAAAUGUCUGAAGUGUAUUCCCAUACACAUUCACACACAUAAUAAAACUAGUUUUAUAUGGUCAUCUACACAUACAUAUUAUACAUAAGCUUAUACGCAUGAAUAGGAUAUAUGAACUGUAUCAAUUUGAUUCUUUUGGCUUGUUUUUAUUUACAUACUCUGAAAGAGUUGAGAUCAUGAUUCUCAUUGGAGGAUGAUGCAUGCAUGAAGCGUCAUGAAAGAAGGCACAUUUAAAGAAAUAUAAUCGGAUUAGAGUAACGAGGCACUUAAAAUGAGCCUAUACAUUUUACCAACACGCAUUUAACGUUAACUUGUCUGCGAUACUUUGUUGGGCUUGUAGCCUCGCUACAAGGAGCGGUGUCAGUUUUUGCCAUGACUAUAAUUAAUUUCAUAUCGCACAUUUGCCUGAGGUCUUUACAGUCUGUACACAUGUGACAUCCUCUGUCCCGAAACCCUCAGCACAGGACAAACUCCCCAAACAAUGACAAGCCCUUUAAAGGUUUCUUCCCUUUAUUCUCCCCAUCAGAGAGACACAGGAGUAUCCUCCCCGGGAUGGACAGACUGAGAUGGACUUACUGAAUGAACAACGUAAAAUAUGUAUAAUACGUUCAAUUCAUGCGACAAAUGAUUCAAAUUAACAUCUCAUCAUAUGAGUGGAGAAAAGUGUAUUUGCUGUUAUACUGUUAAAAUAUCCUGGUUUUCGGUGAUCGAUUCUUCCGCAUUCCCUGAUGACUGACAGCUGGUUCAAACUAACGAGACUGUCCCCCUCACACCUGAAACCCAUCAGGGUAUGACGACCUGAAGGCCUUCAUAAGGGUGGGAGACACACCAUUGAGGGGAAGAGAGAGAUGAGCUGCAGGUUCGGCCUGAUGCAAAAGACCAGACCAAUACAGGGACUGAGAAGACGAGGCAUUAUUUAAGUUUUACCGGCGAAGAGCGACCGAAGCCCAAGUUGCAGGCUGGCCUUCAGCGAAACAAACUACCUGGGGUACACCAUUGAAAGGGGUUUGGUCAAGCCCCAGGAAGCCAAGUUGCGGGCCAUACAGGACUGGCCACAGCCCAUCACCAAGAAACAGGUGGUCAUUUUUAGGCCUAGCCGGCUACUAUCCACGUUUUAUUAUGGAUUUUGCUACCAUAGCAGCCCCUCUAACAGAACUGACUCCCUCUGAGGCUCACUGAAUGGUGAGGUGGAACCCUGCGGCGGAGGCGGCCUUCAGCAACCUGAAGCGAGCUCUGUGCUCUGGUCCAGUCCUGGUGGCACCAGACUUCCAGAAGGAAUUAAUCGUCCAGGCGGACGCUUCAGAGGGCUGGCAAGAGCCACAGCAAUGCGGAUGCGCUCUCCAGACGUGACGCCUUCUGCACCUCCUUCACCCCGACGAGGACGUCAGUCUCGAGGGGGGGUGUGUGUGAUGUCACGAGAGGCUGGGUCUUGGAAGGGAGGGUCAAAACCGAGAUAUCAGUCGAAUGGAAAACAAAUCCAAAAAGGGGGCACGCAAAAAUCCAUUGACUUUUCCCUGCACAGUUUGAAGAAUGCCAAGGGGUCCCAGGGCCACUGUCCUACCUGAAAGGCAGGGGAGGAGAUGAGAUGGGGAGCGACUGGAGAAAGCCGCAGGGCAAGAAGAGCGGAGACGUUCAGGGGCAACGGGCAAAGGAGGACUGGGAGGUGAGCGGGAGUUAAAUUAGGUGUGUAAUGUUAGGGUUGAUAUGAAGUGACUGAGUGUGGUGUGCUGUCAAUAAUUCGCCCUGCUCUUCGACAAUUCUUCUUCCUCCACUGACACUAAGAAACACCUUCUCCUCCUUAUUCUCCCAAAGAGAUUUCUUCCACCAGAAAUAGAUUUUGUGGUCCCUGAGUUCCACUUCUUUUCUAUCCAAGACAUUGAGAGAGAAAUACAGUUUCCUUUCAUCAGAGAGAUAUCACAUUAACAGCCUUAUAGCUUCAGAAAGUAUAAAUUUUAUUGGUAGUCUACUGAAACUGGAUUGGAAAAAUUGGAAAAAAUGGCAACUUGUAAGCAACUGGAGUUAUUUAAUGGACAACUAUAGUUUUGUUAAAGAGACAAACCCAAUGUGGGAGUGACAUUAUUCUGUUGAAUGCUAAACUGAUGUAAUUGAGUUUUUAUUGCGCCCCUGCUCGGACCACACACAGUGAGAGCCACAAAUGACAGAAAAGGUAUUCUUUGAAAUUCUAAACCUUAGAAUGCACUCAGUUCAAUACAGUAUUGCCUCUCAGUAUUUACUGCUUAAUCUUUGAUUUUUCCUCCACCUUAUAGGUUCCGUCUGCCUGUGCCUCCCCUUGGUGAUUGAAGAGAUGAGCAGAAUAACCAUUUAAUUGUGAAUCUAUUUCUUGUGUGAAUUUAUCAAUGAUAUUGUCUUAAAAAUCACAGAUAGAUCCUGGAAAUGUUGAAUUUUUACAUUUUGUCACCUAGUUUUUUUCGCCCUGUUCACCUAUCCACUAACUCUAUAGUCCUUUCAGAUCCAUUCUCCGCCCCAGUGAACACUUGCGUGCACUUCCCUCACUUGAUACUCCCGCCCUGCUCACCUGCAGCUCGUUCCCACAUUACUCAUUCACUAUUUAGGUUCACUCACUUGCACCUGCCUCUUGCCACAUUGUAUUGUGUCCCUGCCAAGUUCUUCAGCAUGACAUUGCAGUCUGUCUCUGACCUUUUUCCUCUGACCCCUGGCUGCUGUUUUUUUACCUUCAAUUCUCUGCCUGCUCCUUUUCUUUGGUUUGCCUGUGUGACUGAUAUCCUGGUUUGCACCCUGCCUGUCAACCAAGCAAACCCACUUUGACAUAUUGUGCAUUUGGGUCAGACUACAGCUUAAACUUAGGUUUGUUUAUUCAAACACAAAUUUAACAGACCCUUGAUGUUCACACACCUCAUUUUCUUUUGCAUGUUUGUAAAAUGACCAGAAUAUCUUAUCGCUAUUGAAGAAGAAAAAGCAGACAACCACAGUUCGCUGUUGAUUUGACAAAGAAUGUUUGAUGUUUAUAUAAAAAAAAUGGAAAUUGAGCAAUCUGGGAUCCUGUCUACGAGAAGGGUCUCUUUUACCAGCUCCAGCAGACAAAGGCCCCACUCACACACCUUUUGUCUUAUUACCGUAAAUAGCCGGCGGGCUAGCUAACGCCCUGAGGAAGAUCCUCCAUUUGAGUGUCUUCCACUACCAAGGACCCGAUUUAAUGGUGAUAAGAGGUGGUGAAAUGGUUCAAACAUAAUACCUAAGUUAACACUGACAUUUAAAAAAACGAAAACAUUCCACUUGAAUGUUUGUACAGUCAGCUACAGACCGUGGAUCACUUUACCUGUGGACAGAACAGGAUAGCAGCUUUCCUAUUCGAAGUGCAGUGCUCAGAUCAGCUGGCCGGAUACAACAAUGUUAGAAUACAACAACACACAGGAAUACGGUGGAUAUACCGUAAAUCACAGACUAUAGAGCGCACCUGAAUAUAUGCAGCACCACCUAAAUUUAGAACGAAAAAAAGAUGUGCACAUAUAUACGCACCGGCCUAUAAACCGCAAGUGUCCACUCCAGUGACGUGCGGUCGCUGGAGGCAGUGCCUCCCCUUGUGUCAUCAUGAAAUAUGAAAAAAAAAAAUGUAUAUAUAUAUUUGUCCACUGAUCUGUGAUAGAUUAGAUUCAACUUUAUUGUCAUUGCACAAGUACUGAGGCAACGAAAUGCAGUUUAACAUCCAACCAGAGUGCAAAAUAGCAAAAAAUGUGCCAGUGUAAUUAUUAUGUGAAGUGAGUAUGUGAAGUGUAAUUAUUAGAUCAAUCAAUGCGAUCAUUGUUAUAGUUUAAAUGAAUUUGUAUUUUCAGCGACUAGCUGCGCCUCCUUCUCGGAUUGUGCAAUCCCUCAUAAACCAGAUUGAGCUGCUCAUGUUUUUGCCCAAUUUCAGCACGUGCAAUUAAUGUCUCUAUAUGUCACCAAUGUAAUGUUUGUAUCACAUGUCCUCACUCCCCAUAGUCUGGGUCCUGUAUUUCACGCAUGUUAGCUAAUCUGACGUAACGGCGCAGUAAGGAGGCAGCUGGACUGGCAGCUUUCUGCUUGUCACUGUUGUGGAGGCGGAGUCAGUACCUCUGCCUGUCUGAAGGGGGCGUGUGUGAGCACACGGGAUCCUUCCGCUGUUGUUUUUCUUCACGUAUCACAGACUGAUAGCAUAGUUAGCAUGUGCUAACUUAAUCACAGAUUUUCAAUAAUAAUGAAGUUUGCUUUCAAAGAAGUUCAUGUACUCUAUGUAAAGGUGUGUGCAUAUGAAGCUGUUCAAGUCCAGUUCCAGGCCUUCUCCAACCUCCAUCAUAUUGCAGUGCAUGCGGUUCUCCUGCUGUCACUGCUUCCUUCCCUACGUCUCACUCUUGUCUAUUCACGCCUCACUGUUUAUCUUUUACAAUAUCUUUGCUUAUUCUACCCAGUAUCUUUGCCCCCCAACUCCCCAUCAACCCUUCCUUUUGUAUUUAUUGCUGUAUUUAUUUCUGCUGAAAAGCCAGUCUAGUUCAUUUGCUAGUCGACCAGGCAGAGUAGGGCUCCUAUUCUUAGGCUUUUAUUAACAUCAUGGACUGCACAACAGCUACAGAAUCUAUUAUUCAUUAAGUGUAACCAAUAUAAAAUUUAAAACAGUCUGGGCUCUUUUUUUGGUGGAAAUAUGUAAGGUCAGCAUAAUUUUCUGCCUAUUACUAAUAUCUAUAUCAUCUUUUCCUUAGUCAGCUCCAUUUAAAUAUGCAAUCAUUUACAGCUUUUGACUAUAUGUGUGUGCACACCCAAUAUCCAAUAUUCCUCUACUAGACUUUUUAUGCUGACAUCAAUGGCAAGCUAUUAAAGACAGUAUUUCAUUAUUGGUUCUUCUUCCCCAGUGGUUAUUUACAAUCCCAUAUAUACUAAGCACUGAUAUUAAAGGAGACCAUUUUAAUGAGGUGCUAUCUGCCAUGGCAAUAUGUCUUUCUCCGAAUGAGAUUGUGUUUAAAGAUUUUAUCAAGAAAUGGCUGUUCGGCAGGGUUAUGUUUUGUCCAUGAAAUAUGCAUUUCAUAUCUCUUUCAUUUCAUUAACAUAAUUUAAUUUGUGCUUUGCAUUCUGUGCAUAAUACAUAUUUGAUUUACAAAACAAAUAUUUCCAUUAGAAAAUGAAUUUCAUGCGCGCAAAAGGCAGAACUGAAAGAUGUAUUGUAAAGAAGUAAGAGGAGAAAAGAAAACGAAUUGUAUUAUCUUUGACUCAGGGAAAAGAAGAAAUCAUUGGCAAGUAAAAAUACUCUCAAUAGAUUUCUUAUGUGUGUAUGCGUGGGGGGACACUCUGUUAUAUGUGCAUGUUUGUAUAGACAGUAUGUAAAUGGGAAAUAAAAGUCGUUGGUAUAUUGCAUGGAGUCUAGAGCCAUAUAACACAGAUUGAUUUACAUGACCUGCAUAGGGUUUCCCUCCCUGAUGUUAAGUUCACUCAUCAGAGUCACAUGACUUGUUUUGAAUCUUGAUUUUGUGUCCCUCCUUUUGAGAGUGAGACCUGUCUUAAGUGGGCAUUCUGUGGGGAGAAUCGUUGUGUGGGACGCGCACAUCAAGAGGCUUUAAUUUUUCCCAUCUCCAAGGUUUGUGCUCCAUGCAUAGGGCCAUCUUCUAUGCUUCCAGUUAAGAGCUGUUUAGCUCCUCUUCCUUGAGC
Molecule: long non-coding RNA, 6032 nt
Organism: Gasterosteus aculeatus aculeatus (three-spined stickleback)
Lineage: Eukaryota; Metazoa; Chordata; Actinopteri; Perciformes; Gasterosteidae
Source: Ensembl